AGCUCCAAAGCGUAUAUUAAAGUUGUUGCAGUUAAACGCUCGUAGUCGGGUUUCGGGUCGGGCCGAGCGGUCUGCCGAUGGGUAUGCACUGUUUGGCGCGGCCUUCUUUCCGGAGACCGCGGCUACUCUUAACUGAGCGGGCGUGGGAGACGGAUCGUUUACUUUGAAAAAUCAGAGUGUUUCAAGCAGGCAGCUCGCUCUUGCAUGGUACAGCAUGGGAUGAUAGAAUAGGACUCCGGUGCUAUUUGUUGGUUUUGAACACCAGGAGUAAUGAUUAACAGGGACAGUCAGGGGCACUCGUAUUACGGUGUUAGAGGUGAAAUUCUUGGAUCGCCGUAAGACGAACGAGAGCGAAAGCAUUUGCCAAGAAUGUUUUCA
This 378-nucleotide ribosomal RNA is filed under the name uncultured eukaryote. RNAcentral's name for it is "SSU rRNA". It matches the Rfam family "Eukaryotic small subunit ribosomal RNA", at positions 587 to 972 of the family's 1831-position model. The record is from RNAcentral.